Molecule: ribosomal RNA, 596 nt
Filed under: Neurospora tetraspora
Lineage: Eukaryota; Fungi; Ascomycota; Sordariomycetes; Sordariales; Sordariaceae
Description: eukaryotic LSU rRNA
Rfam family: 5.8S ribosomal RNA (bases 228-381)
Source: RNAcentral
AACAAGGUCUCCGUUGGUGAACCAGCGGAGGGAUCAUUACAGAGUUGCAAAACUCCCACAAACCAUCGCGAAUCUUACCCGUACGGUUGCCUCGGCGCUGGCGGUCCGGAAGGCCCUCGGGCCCCCGGAUCCUCGGGUCUCCCGCUCGCGGGAGGCUGCCCGCCGGAGUGCCGAAACCAAACUCUUGAUAUUUUAUGUCUCUCUGAGUAAACUUUUAAAUAAGUCAAAACUUUCAACAACGGAUCUCUUGGUUCUGGCAUCGAUGAAGAACGCAGCGAAAUGCGAUAAGUAAUGUGAAUUGCAGAAUUCAGUGAAUCAUCGAAUCUUUGAACGCACAUUGCGCUCGCCAGUAUUCUGGCGAGCAUGCCUGUUCGAGCGUCAUUUCAACCAUCAAGCUCUGCUUGCGUUGGGGAUCCGCGGCUGCCCGCGGUCCCUCAAAAACAGUGGCGGGCUCGCUAGUCACACCGAGCGUAGUAACUCUACAUCGCUAUGGUCGUGCGGCGGGUUCUUGCCGUAAAACCCCCCAAUUUCUAAGGUUGACCUCGGAUCAGGUAGGAAUACCCGCUGAACUUAAGCAUAUCACUAAGCCGUGGGAG